UCCUACGGGAGGCAGCAGUGGGGGAUAUUGCACAAUGGAGGAAACUCUGAUGCAGCAACGCCGCGUGAAGGAAGACGGUUUUCGGAUUGUAAACUUCUAUCAGCAGGGAAGAAAAUGACGGUACCUGACUAAGAAGCCCCGGCUAACUACGUGCCAGCAGCCGCGGUAAUACGUAGGGGGCAAGCGUUAUCCGGAUUUACUGGGUGUAAAGGGUACGUAGGCGGCCCAUUAAGUCAGAUGUGAAAGCCCGAGGCUCAACCUCGGGACUGCAUUUGAAACUGGUGGGCUAGAGUACAGGAGAGGAAAGCGGAAUUCCUAGUGUAGCGGUGAAAUGCGUAGAGAUCUGAAGGAAUACCAGUGGCGAAGGCGGCCCCCUGGACAGAUACUGACACUCAGAUGCGAAAGCGUGGGGAGCAAACAGGAUUAGAUACCCUGGUAGUCCACGCCGUAAACGAUGUCUACUUGGAGGUUGUGGCCUUGAGCCGUGGCUUUCGGAGCUAACGCGUUAAGUGGACCGCCUGGGGAGUACGGUCGCAAGAUUAAAACUCAAAUGAAUUGACGG
Molecule: ribosomal RNA, 562 nt
Filed under: uncultured bacterium
Lineage: Bacteria
Description: bacterial SSU rRNA
Rfam family: Bacterial small subunit ribosomal RNA
Source: RNAcentral